CCUGAGAGCCCAGGCAGCGAAGAAAAGGCUGGUGAUUGGUGAACCAGCUCAGUGGGCGAGGAGGAGGAGCAGGAGGAGAUGUCAUCUUCGAAGACAUCAGCCGACAGAGGGAAAGCAGCAGGAUCUGAGGACAUGGGAAUGCGUGCCGAUGCGUGUUGACUCACGGCUCUCCAGGGGCAGUGUGUGUUCGUGCUGUUGCUCCGCUGGUCCAGGCGGUCGCUGGAUCCUCUCAGUGAGGUCCUGCGCCUGACGAGCCUUCUUCUGCCGCUAGCCCUGCAGAGGGGCAACUCAGGUGAACUUGUGCAUCAACAAAGCACUUUGAGCCUUCAACCCAUCCCUCAGAGUUACAGCACCGAGGAUCUCAGGCGCUCUUUUGUGUCGGCAGGCAUCAGAAUGCAACUUGUGCAACCUGCUUCAGCCUCAGACAAAGAGGAGGGAACUGAAGCAAGAAGCUCUGCCUGUCGAACUACCUCAGAUUUUUUGUUUGCUUGCUGCAAAGAUCUGGAUAAAUGAUCUGUUUUUUUGAACUGUUUGUUAAUACCUUUACCUCAGGAUGAUGCCUACAUUUAAAGGAAAAGUUCACCCAAAAAUAAACAACCAAAGUAGACUGGGAACAACUGA
Molecule: long non-coding RNA, 621 nt
Organism: Acanthopagrus latus (yellowfin seabream)
Lineage: Eukaryota; Metazoa; Chordata; Actinopteri; Spariformes; Sparidae
Exons: 3
Source: RefSeq, a predicted model, not a curated record